GGCCUUCACUGGAUUUAACCGGAUAGCCGGUUCUGUAAAUCCGGAAAUCCGGAUUCGAGCUGCACUUUGGCAGCAUUCUGGAUUCAUUCGGCCAACCGGUUAAGGAAACCGGUAAGCCGGUUUUAACGUGCUAUCUUCUGGAUCCAACCGGCAAGCCGGUUUGUGAUAUCCGGAAAACCGGAUUCGAGUGAAGGACUUGCUGGAA
RNAcentral lists this long non-coding RNA (205 nucleotides) under Citrus sinensis (sweet orange). RNAcentral describes it as "long non-coding RNA (CSIN_LNC003065)". The record is from RNAcentral. Lineage: Eukaryota; Viridiplantae; Streptophyta; Magnoliopsida; Sapindales; Rutaceae.